RNAcentral lists this ribosomal RNA (253 nucleotides) under uncultured bacterium. Its description in RNAcentral is "partial 16S ribosomal RNA". It matches the Rfam family "Bacterial small subunit ribosomal RNA", at positions 524 to 776 of the family's 1533-position model. The record is from RNAcentral.
UACAGAGGUCCCAAGCGUUGUUCGGAUUCACUGGGCGUAAAGGGUGCGCAGGUGGGUUGGCAAGUUCGAUGUGAAAGCCCCGGGCUUAACCCGGGAAUGGCAUUGGAUACUGCUGAUCUGGAGGAUCGGAGGGGGGACUGGAAUUCUUGGUGUAGCAGUGAAAUGCGUAGAUAUCAAGAGGAACACCGGUGGCGAAGGCGAGUCCCUGGACGAUACCUGACACUGAGGCACGAAAGCCAAGGGAGCAAACAGG